GAUGAACGCUAGCGGCAGGCUUAACACAUGCAAGUCGAGGGGCAGCACGGGUAGCAAUACCUGGUGGCGACCGGCGCAAGGGUGCGUAACGCGUGAGCAACAUGCCCUAUACAGGGGGAUAAUCCAGGGAAACUUGGUCUAAUAUCCCAUAGUAUUUAGAGGAGGCAUCUUCUAUAAAUUAAAGCUUCGGUGGUAUAGGAUUGGCUCGCGUGACAUUAGCUAGAUGGUGAGGUAACGGCUCACCAUGGCAAUGAUGUCUAGGGGUUCUGAGAGGAAGGCCCCCCACACUGGGACUGAGACACGGCCCAGACUCCUACGGGAGGCAGCAGUGAGGAAUAUUGGACAAUGGAUGGAAAUCUGAUCCAGCCAUGCCGCGUGCAGGAAGACAGCCCUAUGGGUUGUAAACUGCUUUUAUAUGGGGAGCAAUAAGGUCUACGUGUAGACUGAUGAGAGUACCAUAUGAAUAAG
This 468-nucleotide ribosomal RNA is filed under the name uncultured bacterium. RNAcentral describes it as "bacterial SSU rRNA". It matches the Rfam family "Bacterial small subunit ribosomal RNA", at positions 28 to 490 of the family's 1533-position model. The record is from RNAcentral.